This 72-nucleotide transfer RNA is filed under the name Escherichia coli. Its description in RNAcentral is "tRNA-Asn". It matches the Rfam family "tRNA". From Rfam's summary of the family: Transfer RNA (tRNA) molecules are approximately 80 nucleotides in length. Lineage: Bacteria; Pseudomonadati; Pseudomonadota; Gammaproteobacteria; Enterobacterales; Enterobacteriaceae. The record is from RNAcentral.
UCCUCUGUAGUUCAGUCGGUAGAACGGCGGACUGUUAAUCCGUAUGUCACUGGUUCGAGUCCAUCACACGAU